Molecule: ribosomal RNA, 451 nt
Filed under: Clostridioides difficile
Lineage: Bacteria; Bacillati; Bacillota; Clostridia; Peptostreptococcales; Peptostreptococcaceae
Description: bacterial LSU rRNA
Rfam family: Bacterial large subunit ribosomal RNA
Source: RNAcentral
AAGGUCCCUAAAUGUAAGUUAAGUGGUAAAGGAUGUGGGAUUGCACAGACAACCAGGAUGUUGGCUUAGAAGCAGCCACUCAUUCAAAGAGUGCGUAAUAGCUCACUGGUCGAGUGAUCCUGCGCCGAAGAUUUCCGGGGCUAAAACUUACUACCGAAGCUACGGCAUCAGUAAUGAUGGGUAGGGGAGCUUCCCAUACGGGUUGAAGCAUGACCGUAAGGACAUGUGGACAGUAUGGGAGUGAGAAUGUUGGCAUGAGUAGCGAGAUGUGGGUGGGAAUCCCACAGGCCGUAAACCCAAGGUUUCCAGGGGAAGGUUCGUCCGCCCUGGGUUAGUCGGGACCUAAGCUGAGGCCGAAAGGCGUAGGUGAUGGACAACAGGUUGAUAUUCCUGUACUACCGAUAACCGUUUGAGAGAAGGGAUGACACAGUAGGAUAAGCUAAGCACACUG